AGGAUGAACGCUGGCGGCGUGCUUAAGACAUGCAAGUCGAACGCAGCCGCUCCGCAAGGGGUGGCUGAGUGGCGAAUGGGUGCGUAACACGUAGGUGACCUGCCCGGAAGUGGGGGAAUAACAGUUCGAAAGGACUGCUAAUACCGCAUGCGGUGCACGGGUUUUGAAGCCGUGUUCCAAAGGCACGAGCAAUCGUGCCGCUUUCGGAGGGGCCUGCGGCCCAUCAGCUAGUUGGCAGGGUAACGGCCUACCAAGGCGACGACGGGUAGGGGACCUGAGAGGGUCGACCCCCCACACUGGCACUGACACACGGGCCAGACUCCUACGGGAGGCAGCAGUCGGGAAUAUUGCCCAAUGGACGAAAGUCUGAGGCAGCAACGCCGCGUGCGCGAUGAAGGCCUUCGGGUCGUAAAGCGCUUUUCGGGUGGAUGAGAGCGGACAGUACACCCGGAAUCAGGUACGGCUAACUACGUG
RNAcentral lists this ribosomal RNA (474 nucleotides) under uncultured Anaerolineaceae bacterium. Its description in RNAcentral is "bacterial SSU rRNA". It matches the Rfam family "Bacterial small subunit ribosomal RNA", at positions 26 to 507 of the family's 1533-position model. The record is from RNAcentral. Lineage: Bacteria; Bacillati; Chloroflexota; Anaerolineae; Anaerolineales; Anaerolineaceae.